Molecule: long non-coding RNA, 614 nt
Organism: Struthio camelus australis
Lineage: Eukaryota; Metazoa; Chordata; Aves; Struthioniformes; Struthionidae
Source: Ensembl
UAUUUGACUAGUUCCUAUUACUUCAGCAAGCCAAGCAUAAGAAUGGCAUAAGGGAUACAGGGUAUAGCAGAAGUCUGUCUUUUUAUUUUAUUCGAAUAUAAAUGAUGCAGCACAUAAUAAUACUUUAUUUAAUUGUGUUUACUACGAAUAGAUCUAUGAACUGCAGUAGUCCACAACAGAGAUCAGCAAGCAGGGCAGGAAAGCAAAGGUGGACACACACGUUUUGUAAUGAUGGGCAUCUCGGACCACUGAUUCAUGCAUUUGUCAUCUCUAGCCUAAACUUCUGUAACUGGAGGGGAAUCUGAAACCCGUGAACGGACCAGAAUGUGACUACUGACUUUUUCCGUGGUGUGAGGUGCCUUUAGCACAGUAUAUCCAAACUCAAGUCCCUCAGCAGGCGCUCCCACUUUCUCACAGUACCUGUUGAACAGCCUUGGCCCUCAUUUUCACAGCAACUGAAGGAACUUCAGUGACAGAUGCAUAUCUCUGAUGUGCUUUAGAUCAGGACACUCAGGAAGAAAAUGUGUGAGACCUAUUCACAAUGUGAUUCGGCUUUUGCUUUUCUGUAUCUGCACCCCUUGCCAAGGUAAUUCUGUCAUGGAAUGAUCUGCUGG